This 253-nucleotide unclassified non-coding RNA is filed under the name plant metagenome. Its description in RNAcentral is "partial contains small subunit ribosomal RNA, internal transcribed spacer 1, and 5.8S ribosomal RNA". The stretch from base 1 to 54 matches the Rfam family "Eukaryotic small subunit ribosomal RNA", at positions 1778 to 1831 of the family's 1831-position model. The record is from RNAcentral.
GGAAGUAAAAGUCAUAACAAGGUCUCCGUUGGUGAACCAGCGGAGGGAUCAUUACAGAGUUGCAAAACUCCCAAACCAUUGUGAACGUUACCUAUCCCGUUGCUUCGGCGGGCGGCCCGGGCCCCGCGCCCGGCGCCCCCCGGCCCCCCGUGGGCGCCCGCCGGAGGUAAACCAAACCCUUGAAUUGCAUGGCCUCUCUGAGUCUUCUGUACCGAAUAAGUCAAAACUUUCAACAACGGAUCUCUUGGUUCUG